UUUUUUUUUCUCUACCACACAACCCCUUUUAUUAGUGUAAGA
This 42-nucleotide small RNA is filed under the name Arabidopsis thaliana (thale cress). RNAcentral describes it as "ATSL144400". Lineage: Eukaryota; Viridiplantae; Streptophyta; Magnoliopsida; Brassicales; Brassicaceae. The record is from RNAcentral.